GACGAACGCUGGCGGCGUGCUUAACACAUGCAAGUCGGACGGAAAGGCCCUGCUUUUGUGGGGUGCUCGAGUGGCGAACGGGUGAGUAGCACGUGAGUAACCUGCCCUUGACUUUGGGAUAACUUCAGGAAACUGGGGCUAAUACCGGAUAGGAGCUCCUGCUGCAUGGUGGGGGUUGGAAAGUUUCGGCGGUUGGGGAUGGACUCGCGGCUUAUCAGCUUGUUGGUGGGGUAGUGGCUUACCAAGGCUUUGACGGGUAGCCGGCCUGAGAGGGUGACCGGCCACAUUGGGACUGAGAUACGGCCCAGACUCCUACGGGAGGCAGCAGUGGGGAAUAUUGCACAAUGGGCGGAAGCCUGAUGCAGCAACGCCGCGUGCGGGAUGACGGCCUUCGGGUUGUAAACCGCUUUCGCCUGUGACGAAGCGUGAGUGACGGUAAUGGGUAAAGAAGCACCGGCUAACUACGU
Molecule: ribosomal RNA, 467 nt
Filed under: uncultured bacterium
Lineage: Bacteria
Description: partial 16S ribosomal RNA
Rfam family: Bacterial small subunit ribosomal RNA
Source: RNAcentral